AACUGUUUUUCAGCGCAUACAUCCGCAGCUGAGUAGUCAUUUAUUUUUUGCUUUUGAAUAACUUUCCGCAAAACAAAGAACCAACAUCAAGUAGAGCAGGAGGAUUAGGGAUUGUCGGAACCUGAAAGUACAAAUUCAGUAUCCUAAUACAUCUAUGCAUUAAUAUUACAAAAGCCUUUUAUACGAUUUUUAAUAGAUUCUUAAAAGGGUUUAAAAAGCUGUUUAUAAGGAUUUUAAAAGAUUGUUAUAAGGACUUUACAAGAACCAAGUUGUUUUCAAACUAACUUAUAAACAAUAUAAGGUUACCUUAUCUAAAGUAGUAGAUUACUUGAGUACGAUUUGGACAAGAAACAUCAGUAGUCAAAAAUAAGUUGUUUGGUUACGUAUCACCGGCUGCUGAUUAAUGAUAGUAGACGUUCUAGGUUCCUCAGCGGAAGUAAAAAGACCAGCAGUAGCAGCAAAAGGAUUAGGCAUUGUCGGAACCUGAAACUACAAAUUCAGUAUCCUAAUAAAUCUAUGCAUUAAAAAUACAAAAGCUUUUAAAAGUCUUUUAUACGAUUUUUAAUAGAAUUUUAAAAGGGUUUUAUAAGGACUUUAUAAGAACCAUGUUGUUUACAAAGAACUUGUCUUGUUUAUAAUGUUUUAAAGGGGUUUUAAAUGAUUUUUAUAAGGUUUUCAAAAGUUUUAAACAAUAUUUUUAUAAGAGGUUUACCUGAGAAAGAGAAGCAGAAGAUACAUCGCUUGCAACAAACUGAUAUGACCUAGUUUGAUUCUGAAAAGUAAACACGUAAUAAGUUAAUAAUGAUUUGAAACAAUAUUUUUUUUUAAAGGGUUUUUCUAAAGUAGUAGAUUACCUGAGUAUGAUUUGGACAAGAAACAUUAGUAGCCCCAAAAGAAGUUGUUUGGUUACAUAUAACCGGCUGCUGAUUAAUGAUAGUAGACGUUCUAGGUACCUCAGUGGAAGUAAAAAGACCAGAAGUAGCAGCAUGAGGAUUAGGCAUUGUCGGAACCUGAAAAUACAAAUUCAGUAUCCUAAUAAUAGAUGAUUUUUUAAACAACUUUUUUUGUUUAUAACGUUUUAAAAGGGUUUUAAAUGAUUUUUAUAAGGUUUUCAAAAGUUUUAAAAAGUAUUUUUAAAAGAGGUUUACCUGAGAAUGAGAAGCAGAUGAUACAUCACUAGCAACAAACUGAUAUGAG
This 1197-nucleotide long non-coding RNA is filed under the name Capsella grandiflora. RNAcentral's name for it is "long non-coding RNA (CGRA_LNC000884)". Lineage: Eukaryota; Viridiplantae; Streptophyta; Magnoliopsida; Brassicales; Brassicaceae. The record is from RNAcentral.